Molecule: ribosomal RNA, 301 nt
Filed under: uncultured bacterium
Lineage: Bacteria
Description: partial 16S ribosomal RNA
Rfam family: Bacterial small subunit ribosomal RNA
Source: RNAcentral
CAGUCGCCACGGUAAUACGUAGGGUGCAAGCGUUAAUCGGAACUACUGGGCGUAAAGCGUGCGCAGGCGGUUCGUUAAGACAGAUGUGAAAUCCCCGGGCUUAACCUGGGAACUGCAUUUGUGACUGGCGGGCUAGAGUAUGGCAGAGGGGGGUAGAAUUCCACGUGUAGCAGUGAAAUGCGUAGAGAUGUGGAGGAAUACCGAUGGCGAAGGCAGCCCCCUGGGCCAAUACUGACGCUCAUGCACGAAAGCGUGGGGAGCAAACAGGAUUAGAUACCCGCGUAGUCCCUGUCUCUUAUAA